CUGGAAUCGCAAGAUCCCACAACCCUGUGAACCUACCGAAACGUUGCCUCGGCGGGCGCCCGGCCUCGCGCCGGGCGCCGAGCCCGCCGGCGGCCCCCUACUCUUGUCUCUGCAGCGUGGCAUCUCAGAGUCCCAGAAAACAAGUCA
RNAcentral lists this unclassified non-coding RNA (147 nucleotides) under uncultured fungus. RNAcentral's name for it is "sequence contains ITS1, 5.8S rRNA gene". Lineage: Eukaryota; Fungi. The record is from RNAcentral.